Molecule: ribosomal RNA, 537 nt
Filed under: Paraconiothyrium sp.
Lineage: Eukaryota; Fungi; Ascomycota; Dothideomycetes; Pleosporales; Didymosphaeriaceae
Description: eukaryotic LSU rRNA
Rfam family: 5.8S ribosomal RNA (bases 175-328)
Source: RNAcentral
CGCGGCCUCCGGGUUCUUCCCGGGCGGUAGAGGUAACACUCUCACGCGCCACGCGUUUGAAUCCUUUUUUUACGAGCACCUUUCGUUCUCCUUCGGUGGGGCAACCUGCCGUUGGAAUCAUAAAAACCUUUUUUGCAUCUAGCAUUACCUGUUCCGAUAACAAACAAUCGUUACAACUUUCAACAAUGGAUCUCUUGGCUCUGGCAUCGAUGAAGAACGCAGCGAAAUGCGAUAAGUAGUGUGAAUUGCAGAAUUCAGUGAAUCAUCGAAUCUUUGAACGCACAUUGCGCCCCUUGGUAUUCCAUGGGGCAUGCCUGUUCGAGCGUCAUCUACACCCUCAAGCUCUGCUUGGUGUUGGGCGUCUGUCCCGCCUCGGCGCGCGGACUCGCCCCAAAUUCAUUGGCAGCGGUCUUUGCCUCCUCUCGCGCAGCACAUUGCGCUUCUCGAGGUGCUUGCGAGGCCCGCGUCCACGAAGCAUUACCAGUCUUUGACCUCGGAUCAGGUAGGGAUACCCGCUGAACUUAAGCAUAUCAAUAG